This 468-nucleotide ribosomal RNA is filed under the name uncultured bacterium. Its description in RNAcentral is "partial 16S ribosomal RNA". It matches the Rfam family "Bacterial small subunit ribosomal RNA", at positions 28 to 507 of the family's 1533-position model. The record is from RNAcentral.
GACGAACGCUGGCGGCGUGCUUAACACAUGCAAGUCGAACGGAAAGGCCCUGCUUUUGUGGGGUUCUCGAGUGGCGAACGGGUGAGUAACACGUGAGUAACCUGCCCUUGACGUUGUGAUAACUUCAGGAAACUGCGGCUAAUACCGGAUAGGAGCUCCUGCUGCAUGGUGGGGGUUGGAAAGUUUCGGCGGUUGGGGAUGGACUCGCGGCUUAUCAGCUUGUUGGUGGGGUAGUGGCUUACCAGGGCUUUGACGGGUAGCCGGCAUGAGAGGGUGAACGGCCACAUGGGGCCUGAGAUACGGACCAGACUGCUACGGUAGGCAGCAGGGGGGAAUAUUGCACAGUGGGCGCACGCGUGUUGCAGAGACCCCGCGAGCGGGAUGACGGCCUUCGGGUUGUAAACCGCUUUAGCCUGUGACGAAGCGUGAGUGACGGUAAUGGGUAAAGAAGCACCGGCUAACUACGUG